RNAcentral lists this long non-coding RNA (1878 nucleotides) under Medicago truncatula (barrel medic). Its description in RNAcentral is "long non-coding RNA (MTRU_LNC007221)". Lineage: Eukaryota; Viridiplantae; Streptophyta; Magnoliopsida; Fabales; Fabaceae. The record is from RNAcentral.
AUGGGAGAGUCACAGUUCAUGUCAUCCUUGCUUGCAUUGUUGCUGCCACUGGAGGGUCUCUAUUUGGCUAUGAUGUUGGUAUUUCAGGUUCUGCACUAUUUCCACCUUCACUUUUAGCUUCUUCUAUAAUCCAUUAUCUUGAAUAAGAAUUUUAUUACACAAUAUAAAAACUUACUGUGAUUGAAAGAUGAAACUGCAGGAAAGAAGGUGAAAAGAGAAAUGCAUGUGUUAAACAUUCUGUGUUCUUUAAAAAUCAAACCGAAGUUAACUGCCAUUGUCCAUUGUUCAGUUAUUUGAACCGUUCAACCACAGUUUCAUCUAUGUUUAAAUGCUUUAAGGCAAAUGAACCAUGACUUGAAGGUCUCGUCAGUUCAAUUUCAAGUUUGAUAUUUAAACUAUUGCAUGAUUUAUGUCUUAGAAAGAUUAUGCAACUUUUCAAUCAGUUCUUUCUUCGUUCUGCAGUCUUGUUUAUAUACCAAUUUGAAGUGUUUAAAUCCACCAUCCCUUAUACUAAGAUGCAGUUCCCCCAGAUUAAAACCAGAUCCAGGCAGAUUCACUUCAUAAAAAUUUUUUUAAAAAAAUUAACUGUAAUGGUAAAUUAACAAACCUUGCAUCAAAUCGCAUGAUAGUGGUAUCAAUUAUUUUGAUUCUGACCUUCCAAAUUUAAUUGCAUUAUAUCAUUUGUAUGAUAAUGUUAAAUUAACGUUAUCAUACAAAUGAUAUGAUGCAGUUAAAUUUGAUUCAAAUCAAGUUUUGGGACUAGGCAUGUAUCUAUUAGGCCAAGAAUUUACUAAAUUAAAAACAAUGUAAGUGUAAACAUUAAUAUACUCGUUAUGUUAAGAAUUUAAGUCAAGAUAUGAUGUCUAAAUGGCUAUUAUUGUCUGUAACUUAUUCACGUUCAUAGAUAUCUCCCCUUUUCCAUUAAUCAAUUUGAGAGUUUAGUUUAGCACUUGAGAAUUAAGAUUGAAUACACAGCUAUCUCAGUGACUAUAUGCUUUUAUCGAAAUAAGCAUGCGUCAUUGUACAUAUUACCAUUUUUCUUGUCAGAAUAUGUAAAUAAGAAUAAUCUUUACAGCCAUUUAUCGAAACAUUGAUGCAUGUAUCAUGGUUAACAGGAGGAGUUACUUCUAUGGAUGACUUUCUUCUUAAGUUUUUCCCAUCAGUAUACAAACAAAAAAUGCACGCACAUGAAAACAACUACUGCAAGUAUAACAAUCAGGUCCUUGCAGCAUUUACCUCUGUUUUAUACAUUUCUGGUUUAGUUGCAUCCUUGGUGGCAUCUACGAUUACAAGGAAAUAUGGACGGAAAAUAAGUAUCAUAGUUGGUGGUAUCAGUUUUCUCAUCGGAUCAAUUCUGAAUGCUGCAGCUGCUAAUCUAGGAAUGCUUAUCAUAGGUCGAAUUCUGCUUGGUGUAGGCAUUGGUUUUGGAGAUCAGGUAGUGAAAGUUUUCCUAUAACCUUUAGAUUCUUAUGCAAAUACAAACUUUUUUUUUUAUGUAAAACAUUGGUAUAUAAAAAGAGCAAUCAAACAACUAAUUCGUGUGUACAGCCAAGCUCUAAAGUCUAGAUAACCAAAGUAUCAAACAUUCAAUUGAUUUGAGAUAAGGUUUUAUGGAGUUAAAGGAUCAGGGUUCAAACCUGAAGAAAAUACUUAUGUAACAACUAAUAUACUUACGCUGUUGAUUAGGCGGGUUCAUAAAAUUUUACAAGAAAAAAAGUAGCAAUGAGAUGACACAGUGAAUGGUUCAAUAAAGUAUGUUUGAGUUAGAAGAUAAUACAGUUAUACCUUACAGUUGAGAAAUUACUAUAGUUAUUCCUUUCCUCCUGAAUCUUGAUGUUUCUUUUGAAGGCGAUUCCUCUUUACUUGUCAGAGAUGGCG